RNAcentral lists this long non-coding RNA (1980 nucleotides) under Salmo salar (Atlantic salmon). RNAcentral describes it as "lncRNA (ENSSSAG00000090638.1, ENSSSAG00000101855.1)". Lineage: Eukaryota; Metazoa; Chordata; Actinopteri; Salmoniformes; Salmonidae. The record is from RNAcentral.
GGGGGGGAUGAGGAUGGAAGGGUGGACUGAAAUCACAACGAAGCUUUGGAUUAUUCCUAUCAUAGGUUUCAUAAACGCUCAGCUCUUCCUGAUCCUCCGUGGCUAGAGAAAGUCAUACUGUAUGCUUUAUGUGCAUGAGAGACAUUUAUGUAUUUACAGUGCACACGCUUCAAUGGCUACUCCUGUGUUGAGGACAUCUGGCUCCAAGGUUGACAUAUUUUCUCCUCUACCUCUCUGUCUCUAACAACAACCUUAUCAUCCUCCAUUACACACCUGGAUUGUAUUACAUAUUAGUUCUCUUAACAGAGAUAGGUGUAAAACAAGGAUGAUGGGGAUGGGUCUGUGACGGAUAUCAUCGUGAGAAAGAGAGAAAUAGAGGGAGCGAGAGAAUGUGAGAGAGAAAGGGGGGGAGAGGGGGGAUAGAGAGAGACAGGGGAUAGAGAGAGACCGGGGUAGAGAGAGACAGGGGAUAGAGAGAGACCGGGGUAGAGAGAGACAGAGUGUAGAGAGAGACAGGGGCAGAGAGAGACAGCCAGGGAGAGAGAGAGACAGACAGGGACAGAGAGAGACAGACAGGGACAGAGAGAGACAGACAGGGAUAGAGAGAGACAGGGGUAGAGAGAGACAGGGGAUAGAGAGAGACGGGGAUAGAGAGAGAUAGGGGAUAGAGAGAGACAUAGGUAGAGAGAUACAGGGGUAGAGAGAGACAGGGGGUAGAGAGAGAUAGGGGAUAGAGAGAGACAUAGGUAGAGAGAUACAGGGACAGAGAGAGACGGGGAUAGAGAGAGACAGGGGGUAGAGAGAGACAGGGGAUAAAGAGAGACAGGGUAGAGAGAGACAGGGGAUAGAGAGAGACAAGGGUAGAGAGAUACAGGGGAUAGAGAGAGACGGGGAUAGAGAGAUACAGGGGGUAGAGAGAUACAGGGGUAGAGAGAGACAGGGGGUAGAGAGAGACAGGGGGUAGAGAGAGACAGGGGAUAGAGAGAGAUAGGGGAUAGAGAGAGACAUAGGUAGAGAGAUACAGGGGGUAGAGAGAGACAGGGGUAGAGAGAGACAGGGAGUAGAGAGAGACAGGGGAUAAAGAGAGACAGGAGGUAGAGAGAGACAGGGGAUAGAGACAGACAGGGGUAGAGAGAGACAGGGGUAGAGAGAGACAGAGGUAGAGAGAGACAGAGGUAGAGAGAGACAGAGGUAGAGAGAGACAGAGGUAGAGAGAGACAGGGGUAGAGAGAGACAGGGGGUAGAGAGAGAUAGGGGAUAGAGAGAGACAGGGAUAGAGAGAGACAGGGGAUAAAGAGAGACAGGGGGUAGAGAGAGACAGGGGGUAGAGAGAGACAGGGGAUAGAGACAGACAGGGGUAGAGAGAGACAGGGAUAGAGACAGACAGGGAUAGAGAGAGACAGAGGUAGAGAGAGGGGAUAGAGAGACAGGGAAUAGAGAGAGACAGGGGAUAGAGAGAGACGGGUAGAGAGAGACAGGGGAUAGAGAGAGACGGGGGUAGAGAGAGACAGGGAAUAGAGAGAGAGACGGGGUAGAGAGAGACAGGGGGUAGAGAGAGACAGGGGUAGAGAGAGACAGGGGUAGAGAGAGACAGGGGUAGAGAGAGACAGGGGUAGAGAGAGACAGGGAGCAGUUAUCCUCUCUAUUUCCUCUGCACCAGCUUUGCGGUUUCUGUGUGGAACAGAUGUUCACAACUUGAUACAGUGCACCAUGCCCCUCUCCUUGCUAUCUUCAGUCCCAGCACUACCAACUGUCUGCACACACACAUUCUCCCUCUCUCUCUCUUGCAUGCCAAUGUGGACACAAUUGCUUGCCUGAAUACAUGUGGAUGUAUUCAGGUGAAAACAGCGUAAAUUGAGAACUUUCUACUGCUGCCCAAUUGACUUUCUCUCCUGUUCCUGCAUCCUGCUCUUUAGUAAACAUUUCACUUUAACGAGGUGCUAUUUCCUGAUCCUUUAGCAGGGAGGGUGACCAGCCACC